Molecule: ribosomal RNA, 117 nt
Filed under: Lepisosteus oculatus (spotted gar)
Lineage: Eukaryota; Metazoa; Chordata; Actinopteri; Semionotiformes; Lepisosteidae
Source: RNAcentral
ACCAGCAGUCAUAUCACCCAGCAGCUCUCAACUGGCAACCCACUGAAGCUAAGCAGGGUUGAGCAUGGUCAGUACCUGGAUGGGAGAACUCCUGGGAAGCUAUGGUUGCUGCUGGAA